GUGUAAUAUUAUUUUAUUAAAGUAUGUGUGAUUAAAAUGGAAUUAAAUCACUGUUCAAGAAUGCAUUUAGAUAAAAAAAAAAUGGGGCUCAAACAAGGGCUAAAAAUAAAUAUUGUAAUAGCAAUUGUUUGGAGAAUGUGUGGUUAAAUAAUGGGGAAAAGUUUUGGGUUUACGUGUAAAAUUAUUUUAUUGGGAGAAUGUAUGGUUGAAGAUGAGUUUGGAGAAACAAGAGUGUUUAUAUGAAGGGGCUCAAAUUGGGGCUAAAUUUCCAAAGCGGUAGAUUAACAUAAGUAUCAAUCCAAACUAAGCAAUAAAUCAGUAAAGACGUAAAAGUCUCCUCUUUUGUUGUCGGCGUGAUGCUACCAUCGCCAAUGUGAAGUGGUGCCCGAGUGGAGCAAUUUUACAGUCAGUGUCACUGUGGGCUAUUAUCCCUGUUUUUCCUAUUUCUUUUUACAAGUUAUGUGUGUGUGUUUUGGUUUGUUACUCAAAAAAAUAAUUAUUUUUUUAGAGUAUAUUAACAAGUAUUAAAUAAUUAAUUUAAAUAUAUUCAAGGUAUGAGUAUAUUUCAAUGGCUGAUUGGUAUAUAGUAAAGAUAUGAAUAGAUUUUUAAAGCAAGUCAAACCAAUGGAAUUUUUGGGUUUUCAAUUAAGAGGGCCCCAAGGCAUCUAAGACUUCAUUAAUGAGGCAGGUGCCUUGAGGCUGACGAUUAAAAUGAGUUUGGGCGUUAGCCUCGCUCAUCCCUAAAAGAAGUCGUGCUCAUUGCCGUUGUGGCGCGCCUCACGAACAUUUUUUAUAACUGUGCUCCUAAGUUAGUCCAAUCUUAAUUCCUUUUUUUUCCCCUAACUACUUUCUUUGAUUAUGAUAUUCAUAGAUUUUUUCUUGUGUGUAAUUGCAUUGUGUUACAAUAUUGAUCUGUUCAAAUGUAGAAAUUAGAAGUUUGUUUUGUUGAAGUUCUGUCCCAAAUUCUAGUAGCGAUUUCAAAUGUAACUUGUUGCUUCAUUCAAUUCAAUGUUUUGACUUUCUCGUCCAAUCUAAGUACUAAAUAGUGUUCUACUUAAUUUUUAUUACUCCAACUUCCCUGUAGUUCUAGCGACAAUUUGUGAUAGGUAAGUUUUAACUGUUUCACGUUUAUCAAUUUCAUAAAACCAUUCAGUUCGAGUCCCCUUAGGACUAUUAAGGUAAGUAUUCGGCUGUAAACUUCAG
This 1203-nucleotide long non-coding RNA is filed under the name Olea europaea (common olive). Its description in RNAcentral is "long non-coding RNA (OEUR_LNC005725)". The record is from RNAcentral. Lineage: Eukaryota; Viridiplantae; Streptophyta; Magnoliopsida; Lamiales; Oleaceae.